Long non-coding RNA from Suricata suricatta (meerkat), 613 nucleotides. RefSeq lists it as uncharacterized. The transcript has 6 exons. The record is from RefSeq and is a predicted model, not a curated record. NCBI's taxonomy places the organism in Eukaryota, Metazoa, Chordata, Mammalia, Carnivora, Herpestidae.
AUUACAUGAAGUUAAAAGACUGAAGUCCUUUGCAGGCCCAGCUUUAAGGAGGUGUCUCAAAUCUAGAUAUGUACCUUUUUCUGAAUCCAAGUUCCUGUACUAAAGAUCAAAACUCCAGCCUCAACAUCUGAGGAGCGCCAAGAGAAAAAUCACAAUAACAAGCACCUGGCUUGGAAACCUCCGCUCCACACCUCACUAAAGUACAACAAGCUGCCAUGUCUGGCAAAAGCUCUUUCCACCUCCGUAGGGAGCCCCGGCAGGAAACGGUCCUGUCAUGGUUUGAUGAUAACACAGGGGCUCCAUUUGCUGAGAGAUAACUUCCAGGAGGGCAGGGACGUGAAGUUCCCUCAACCGUGAUGUUGUUCAUCAGGCAGUUGUUGUUGGUGUCUUGAUGAAGAAGGAUCCAUUUCUGAGGGCACCAGCCAACUGGUGAUCCCCGUGGAAUCUCCAGGGCUUUUGUCACUUCAGCCUGAUUACUUUAAGAGAGUGGGCAGAAGACAAAUCCUCCAGCCUCAGCCAAGCCUUCAGUGACUGCAGCCCUGACUGACAUUUUAACCACCACAGGGAGUGACAUCAGGGCAGAACCACCCAGUUUUAGGAUUCCUGAUCUACA